ACUACGCUGGCGGCGUGCCUAAUACAUGCAAGUCGAACGGGAUUCUUUGAUCAGCUUGCUGAGAGAAGGAUCUAGUGGCGGACGGGUGAGUAACGCGUGGGAAUCUGCCUCUUACUGGGGGAUAACAGUGGGAAACUACUGCUAAUACCGCAUAAGAUCUUCGGAUGAAAGGUGCAACUGCACCGGUAAGAGAUGAGCCCGCGUCCCAUUAGCUAGUUGGUGAGGUAAAGGCUCACCAAGGCGACGAUGGGUAGCCGGCCUGAGAGGGUGAACGGCCACACUGGGACUGAGACACGGCCCAGACUCCUACGGGAGGCAGCAGUAGGGAAUCUUCCGCAAUGGGCGCAAGCCUGACGGAGCGACGCCGCGUGAGUGAUGAAGGCCUUCGGGUCGUAAAGCUCUGUUCUUGAGGACGAAUAAGCCAGGGAGUGGAAAGCCCUGGUGAUGACUGUACUCAAGGAGAAAGCUCCGGCUAACCUACGUG
This 484-nucleotide ribosomal RNA is filed under the name uncultured bacterium. RNAcentral's name for it is "bacterial SSU rRNA". It matches the Rfam family "Bacterial small subunit ribosomal RNA", at positions 33 to 507 of the family's 1533-position model. The record is from RNAcentral.